UACGUAGGUGGCAAGCGUUAUCCGGAAUUACUGGGCGUAAAGGGCGCGUAGGCGGCCUCUUAAGUCGAACGUGAAAUCCCCGGGCUCAACCCGGGAACUGCGUCCGAUACUGGGAGGCUUGAAUCCGGGAGAGGGAUGUGGAAUUCCAGGUGUAGCGGUGAAAUGCGUAGAUAUCUGGAGGAACACCGGUGGCGAAGGCGGCAUCCUGGACCGGUAUUGACGCUGAGGCGCGAAAGCUAGGGGAGCAAACGGG
This 253-nucleotide ribosomal RNA is filed under the name uncultured bacterium. Its description in RNAcentral is "partial 16S ribosomal RNA". It matches the Rfam family "Bacterial small subunit ribosomal RNA", at positions 524 to 776 of the family's 1533-position model. The record is from RNAcentral.